This 138-nucleotide RNase P RNA is filed under the name Idiomarinaceae bacterium. RNAcentral's name for it is "partial RNase P RNA component class A". It matches the Rfam family "Bacterial RNase P class A", at positions 1 to 140 of the family's 367-position model. From Rfam's summary of the family: Ribonuclease P (RNase P) is a ubiquitous endoribonuclease, found in archaea, bacteria and eukarya as well as chloroplasts and mitochondria. The record is from RNAcentral. Lineage: Bacteria; Pseudomonadati; Pseudomonadota; Gammaproteobacteria; Alteromonadales; Idiomarinaceae.
AGAGUUAGCCAGACAAUCGCUGCCCAUGUUCGCAUGGGGGGAGGAAAGUCCGGGCUCCAUAGGGCAGAGUGCCAGAUAACGUCUGGGCGGCGUGAGCCGACGACUAGUGCAACAGAGAGCAAACCGCCGAUGGCCUGC